Molecule: ribosomal RNA, 438 nt
Filed under: Triticum aestivum (bread wheat)
Lineage: Eukaryota; Viridiplantae; Streptophyta; Magnoliopsida; Poales; Poaceae
Description: partial small subunit ribosomal RNA
Source: RNAcentral
UUGCUUAAAAUUGACUUGGCUAAGGAUUUUGAUCGUCUUGAAUGGAACUUCAUCAUUUCCGCUCUUUCACGCAAAGGGUUGCAUGCUCAUUUUAUAAAUUUGGUUUACGCUUGCAUCUCUUCUCCUAGAUUUUUGGUCAUUAUCAAUGGUCAACCUUUUGCCAAUUUUUGUAGUAACAGAGGUAUAAGGCAAGGAUGUCCUUUAUCGCCUUAUCUUUUUGUCCUUGCAAUUAAUGAACUCUCUUUAAGCCUCCAAGAUGCUAUGGUUGAUAAUUGCUUGUCUGGUAUCUCUCUUGGUCCAAAUUGUCCUGCGGUUCACUCCAUGCUUUUUGCCGAUGAUUUGUUGGUAUGUGGAAAUGCUACAAUGCGGGAAGCAAAUCAGAUGGCCAAUCUCCAACCAUUUCUGCUACCAAUCUGGUCAAAUUCCGAAUUGGGAUAA